UAUUUCACUUUUUGGGGAGAAAUAAGAGACUGUUAGAAGGAGCAAAUAAAUGGCAAUGCAUAAACUACAGAUCCCAUAAUGCACUGUGAGGUCUUUACCCACUAUAAGGCUAUUACUGGAAGUGAGGGAGCCUGACUGCUGUUGCGUGUGCUAUUUAGCUGACAAAAAUUUUGGGCAACCAGGCUGUAGACUUUUAUCACUGGCAUGUGGAAAGGGCCUUCAUCUCCCAUGAUGCACUAUAAGGGUUGACCAUAAGAGCCUCUCUGAACCGUCCCCCACUCUAGUGCUGAGGCCACUGACUGUCGCUACGAUGAAUGUGACCGUUGGCAAAUGACCGUUGGCAAAUGACAGUUGGAAAAUGACCGUUGGCAUUUACAGCAGAGGCAGAGAAAUUUGUCUAAUGGUUCAGAAAAAACUACAAAAACAAAUGAAGGAGUAUCACAGAAGGCGACCACUCCAGCACCAACGGGAGGAAAGAAAAAAGAAUGAGAUCCUGAUAACCCAGCACAGCUCUCUCCAGAGCCAAUAUGAAGGGGGCGUGGGAGCUCCCACCAGCAACAGGUCACCUGCUCCCCAUACAAUGAUGUCAAUAACUGGAGGAUUGAGAAGGACCUUGCACAGUAAAGUGAGAGUGGGGAUGUAUUUCAUUCAGAGUUUAACUCAAGAAGGAGAAUCUGAUUACAUUUCCGGAAGUGGUUGGAGAGAAAGCUUUGAGAGUUACCACCAAAGCCUGGUGUGGAACAUGGAGGAGCACAGAGGGGAGUCAGUACCACUUAUCUUUUCCCACCUCUCCACCAGACUCAGAUUCAGCUCUUGGACAACCCAGUGAUAUUCUGCCAACCUCAGUGCCCUGACUUACUCUGCUUUACUGAUUUUCUACCUACUGCACCAGCGGAGAAGGAUCUACUACAUCCCACAAGGGCCACCAGCAUGUGGGCACAGUUCCUGCUGCUGUCGCUGACUCUGCUGUCGCUGGAGAAGGAUGAAGGAUCCACCGGAUAAGAAGCCACCAAAGGGGGUGAAGAAGUAUCUGCUGCUGAAUUUUAGAGCUUUGUUAUGUCUGUAUAUGCCAGUGGGAACAUGAGUAUACAGACUACAUUCAAUGAUGGGGAAUGGAGGGAGAUUCCCAGGAAUGACCAUUAGAAACAGAAUCUCCAACCAGUUAAUCCAGCUGUACCCACAGGAGGACUGGCACGUGUCACUCACAGGAUAUUUCACUUUUUAGGGAGAAAUAAGAGACUGUUAGAAGGAGCAAAUAAAUGGCAAUGCAUAAACUACAGAUCCCAUAAUGCACUGUGAGGUCUUUACCCACUAUAAGGCUAUUACUGGAAGUGAGGGAGCCUGACUGCUGUUGCGUGUGCUAUUUAGCUGACAAAAAUGUUGGGCAACCAGGCUGUAGACUUUUAUCACUGGCAUGUGGAAAGGGCCUUCAUCUCCCAUGAUGCACUAUAAGGGUUGACCAUAAGAGGUAGGUAGCGUUUGUAUUGCUUAUAAUGUCAUGAUCAGGGCUGGCUUGUAACAGGACUACAGAUCCCAUCAUGCUCUAUGAUUCCUUGGUUAUAUCAAUACAGGGGCCACAUUCCUAUUGCUUCCCAUAACCAGCUCUGCUCUGAUCAGUGCCCCCUGCACCCAUAAUGGCAGGAAUCCUAAGGGCAGACAUUUAUUCUUCUGAUUUGUGCUACUUGUCUUUCUACUUAAGCCUCUCUGAACCGUCCCCCACUCUAGUGCUGAGGCCACUGACUGUCGCUACGAUGAGUGUGACCGUUGGCAAAUGACCGUUGGCAAAUGACUGUUGGAAAAUGACCGUUGGCAAAUGACCGUUGGCAAAUGACCGUUGGCAAAUGACAGUUGGAAAAUGACCGUUGGCAUUUACAGCAGAGGCAGAGAAAAUUGUCUAAUGGUUCAGAAAAAACUACAAAAACAAAUGAAGGAGUAUGACAGAAGGCGACCACUCCAGCACCAACGGGAGGAAAGAAAAAAGAAUGAGAUCCUGAUAACCCGGCACAGCUCUCUCCAGAGCCAUCUCAUUACAGUGUCGCACAGAGCAGCGCCCCCAAUCUCUGUCCCAUCCUGCACGAUUAUGAAAUCGGGGACACCGAGGACGGGGUUUAAUAAAAGGGGACAUCCACGUGAUAACCAGGUGGCGAUAACCGAGUUGCUGCUCUUUUCAGAUAGAACUAAUCAAUACGGAAGAGUGACCGUGAGCAGGUAUGUGUGUGAUACUCUGAGUUCCCUGUAUAACUCAGCCUGCAGCCUUGUGCCUUUAUAUGGUCACAGAACAACCCC
This is a long non-coding RNA of Xenopus laevis (African clawed frog), 2286 nucleotides long. RefSeq lists it as uncharacterized. The transcript has 9 exons. NCBI's taxonomy places the organism in Eukaryota, Metazoa, Chordata, Amphibia, Anura, Pipidae. The record is from RefSeq and is a predicted model, not a curated record.